GACGAACGCUGGCGGCGUGCUUAACACAUGCAAGUCGAACGGAAAGGCCCUGCUUUUGUGGGGUGCUCGAGUGGCGAACGGGUGAGUAACACGUGAGUAACCUGCCCUUGACUUUGGGAUAACUUCAGGAAACUGGGGCUAAUACCGGAUAGGAGCUCCUGCUGCAUGGUGGGGGUUGGAAAGUUUCGGCGGUUGGGGAUGGACUCGCGGCUUAUCAGCUUGUUGGUGGGGUAGUGGCUUACCAAGGCUUUGACGGGUAGCCGGCCUGAGAGGGUGACCGGCCAAAUUGGGACGGGGAUACGGCCCAAUCCUUUACGGGGGGCAGCGGGGGGGAAUUUUGCCAAAGGGGGGGAAGCCGGAUGCAGAAACGCCGCGGGGGGGAUGACGGCCUUGGGGUUGUAAACCGUUUUCGCCUGUGACGAAGCGGGGGUGACGGUAAUGGGUAAAGAAGCACCGGCUAACUACGU
Molecule: ribosomal RNA, 467 nt
Filed under: uncultured bacterium
Lineage: Bacteria
Description: partial 16S ribosomal RNA
Rfam family: Bacterial small subunit ribosomal RNA
Source: RNAcentral